RNAcentral lists this ribosomal RNA (465 nucleotides) under uncultured bacterium. RNAcentral describes it as "partial 16S ribosomal RNA". It matches the Rfam family "Bacterial small subunit ribosomal RNA", at positions 28 to 507 of the family's 1533-position model. The record is from RNAcentral.
GACGAACGCUGGCGGCGUGCUUAACACAUGCAAGUCGAACGGAAAGGCCCUGCUUUUGUGGGGUGCUCGAGUGGCGAACGGGUGAGUAACACGUGAGUAACCUGCCCUUGACUUUGGGAUAACUUCAGGAAACUGGGGCUAAUACCGGAUAGGAGCUCCUGCUGCAUGGUGUGGGUUGGAAAGUUUCGGCGGUUGGGGAUGGACUCGCGGCUUAUCAGCUUGUUGGUGGGGUGGCUUACCAAGGCUUUGACGGGUAGCCGGCCUGAGAGGGUGACCGGCCACAUUGGGACUGAGGUACGGACCAGACUCCUACGGGAGGCAGCAGUGGGGAAUAUUGCACAAUGGGCGGAAGCCUGAUGCAGCAGCGCCGCGUGCGGGAUGACGGCCUUCGGGUUGUAAACCGCUUUCGCCUGUGACGAAGCGUGAGUGACGGUAAUGGGUAAAGAAGCACCGGCUAACUACGUG